RNAcentral lists this ribosomal RNA (484 nucleotides) under uncultured bacterium. Its description in RNAcentral is "partial 16S ribosomal RNA". It matches the Rfam family "Bacterial small subunit ribosomal RNA", at positions 30 to 507 of the family's 1533-position model. The record is from RNAcentral.
AUUGAACGCUGGCGGCAGGCCUAACACAUGCAAGUCGAGCGGAUGAAGGGAGCUUGCUCCUGGAUUCAGCGGCGGACGGGUGAGUAAUGCCUAGGAAUCUGCCUGGUAGUGGGGGAUAACGUCCGGAAACGGGCGCUAAUACCGCAUACGUCCUGAGGGAGAAAGUGGGGGAUCUUCGGACCUCACGCUAUCAGAUGAGCCUAGGUCGGAUUAGCUAGUUGGUGGGGUAAAGGCCUACCAAGGCGACGAUCCGUAACUGGUCUGAGAGGAUGAUCAGUCACACUGGAACUGAGACACGGUCCAGACUCCCACGGGAGGCAGCAGUGGGGAAUAUUGGACAAUGGGCGAAAGCCUGAUCCAGCCAUGCCGCGUGUGUGAAGAAGGUCUUCGGAUUGUAAAGCACUUUAAGUUGGGAGGGAGGGCAGUAAGUUAAUACCUUGCUGUUUUGACGUUACCAACAGAAUAAGCACCGGCUAACUUCGUG